GUCCUUAUGAAUUUAAUUUAAGGUUUAACCUGCCCACUGAAAUUAUUUGAAGGGCCGCAGUAAUUUGACUGUGCAAAGGUAGCAUAAUCAUUAGUUUUUUAAUUAAAAGCUUGUAUGAAGGGUUGGACGAGGUAAAUUCUGUCUCUAUUUAAUUAAAUAUAGAAUUUAAUUUUUAAGUUAAAAAGCUUAAAUUUUUUUAAAAGACGAGAAGACCCUAUAGAUCUUUAUAUUAUAAAUAUUAAUUUUAAUUAAGAAUAUUUUAUUUUUUAUUAUUUAUAAUAUUUUAUUGGGGUAAUAGGAAGAUUAAUUUAAUUCUUUUUUUUAUUUUUACAUUAAUAAAUGAUUAUAUGAUCCAAUUUUAUUGAUUGAAAGAUUAAGUUACCUUAGGGAUAACAGCGUAAUUUUUUUAGAGAGUUCAUAUCGAUAAAAAAGUUUGCGACCUCGAUGUUGGAUUAAAAAUUAUCUUAGGUGUAGAAGUUUAAGAUUUUGGUCUGUUCGACCAUUGAAUUUUUACAUGAUCUGAGUUCAGACCGGUGUAAGCCAGGUCGGUUUCUAUCUUUAAUAAAAUAAAAUAUUUUAGUACGAAAGGACCAAGUAUUUAAUAUAUUUAUAUUUAAUUUUUUUUGAAUAU
RNAcentral lists this ribosomal RNA (631 nucleotides) under Agabus basalis. RNAcentral describes it as "partial 16S ribosomal RNA". It matches the Rfam family "Bacterial large subunit ribosomal RNA", at positions 1829 to 2733 of the family's 2925-position model. The record is from RNAcentral. Lineage: Eukaryota; Metazoa; Arthropoda; Insecta; Coleoptera; Dytiscidae.